Molecule: ribosomal RNA, 767 nt
Filed under: uncultured Streptococcus sp.
Lineage: Bacteria; Bacillati; Bacillota; Bacilli; Lactobacillales; Streptococcaceae
Description: bacterial SSU rRNA
Rfam family: Bacterial small subunit ribosomal RNA
Source: RNAcentral
GACGAACGCUGGCGGCGUGCCUAAUACAUGCAAGUCGAACGAGAGCGACCGGUGCUUGCACUGGUCAAUCUAGUGGCGAACGGGUGAGUAACACGUGGGUAACCUGCCCAUCAGAGGGGGAUAACAUUCGGAAACGGAUGCUAAAACCGCAUAGGUCUUCGAACCGCAUGGUUUGAAGAGGAAAAGAGGCGCAAGCUUCUGCUGAUGGAUGGACCCGCGGUGCAUUAGCUAGUUGGUGAGGUAACGGCUCACCAAGGCCGUGAUGCAUAGCCGACCUGAGAGGGUGAUCGGCCACAUUGGGACUGAGACACGGCCCAAACUCCUACGGGAGGCAGCAGUAGGGAAUCUUCCGCAAUGGACGCAAGUCUGACGGAGCAACGCCGCGUGAGUGAAGAAGGUUUUCGGAUCGUAAAGCUCUGUUGUAAGUCAAGAACGAGUGUGAGAGUGGAAAGUUCACACUGUGACGGUAGCUUACCAGAAAGGGACGGCUAACUACGUGCCAGCAGCCGCGGUAAUACGUAGGUCCCGAGCGUUGUCCGGAUUUAUUGGGCGUAAAGCGAGCGCAGGCGGUUUGAUAAGUCUGAAGUUAAAGGCUGUGGCUCAACCAUAGUUCGCUUUGGAAACUGUCAAACUUGAGUGCAGAAGGGGAGAGUGGAAUUCCAUGUGUAGCGGUGAAAUGCGUAGAUAUAUGGAGGAACACCGGUGGCGAAAGCGGCUCUCUGGUCUGUAACUGACGCUGAGGCUCGAAAGCGUGGGGAGCGAACAGG